AUACGAAGGGUGCAAGCGUUAUUCGGAGUUACUGGGCGUAAAGAGUAUGUAGGCGGUUUGUUAAGUUAGUUGUUAAAGACCACGGCUCAACCGUGGAAAGGCAGCUGAUACUGAUGAGCUGGAGCGCAGAAGAGAGGAGUGGAAUUCCCGGAGUAGCGGUAAAAUGCGUAGAUCUCGGGAGGAACACCGGUUGCGAAGGCGACCACCUGGCCAGAUACUGACGCUGAGGUGCGAAAGCGUGGGGAGC
This 247-nucleotide ribosomal RNA is filed under the name uncultured bacterium. RNAcentral's name for it is "partial 16S ribosomal RNA". It matches the Rfam family "Bacterial small subunit ribosomal RNA", at positions 523 to 769 of the family's 1533-position model. The record is from RNAcentral.